UGUUCCCAGUUACUCGGCAUUUGUUCCUUUCUAAUUUGAAAUUCUGUAGGUUCUUGAACAUAGAAUUUGUUCAGUUUCCCGAACAUCUUAUUUUUUGUAAUCAGUUGUUUUAUUUGUAUUUGCGAUAUGUCUUUCUCAAAGAAAGCCCUUUUCCUGUUGUCUUCUAAGAAAAAAAAAAAUUCAGAUGGCGUAUCAUUCGAAUUCUUGGUGACGAGUAGAAGUGAUUCUUACAGGUAUGUCGUGCAAGUUAGAGUCCUGAAAUGUUGCUGUAUGGUGCUGCUUCUGUUGAUAUGCCCUUUUGGUGAAUGUCUAACACGGAUAAAAUUUCCUUGGAAGAGAUUUGGGGAUUCUUUAUGUUCUUUUUCGAUGGUGCUCGUCUAUUUCUCAGAUAUUACAAACCGCGUUUUUGUGCCCACAACGAUCAUUGGAAGAAAAGUUCAAUUAAAUGGGUACAUUCGCUUUACCAAUUCAAACAAAAGAGACCCGUACGUCACGUUAACAAACAGAUGAAGAAACCUCUUAAAUCAGCUGAUAAAGGAGCUUUGGAUCAGAAGGUUUAUGCGAGGCAUACUAUUAGAAACAUAUCGAACAUUUUAAGGUCUUCAUCAUGGGAUUCCGCUCAGGAACAACUAAAGGACCUCUCUGUAAGAUGGGAUUCUUAUACGGUCAAUCAAGUUCUCAAAACCCAUCCGCCCUUAGAAAAGGCCUGGUUGUUUUUCAAUUGGGCCUCUGGGCUAAAAGGUUUUAAGCACGACCAGUUUACAUACACAACAAUGCUGGAUAUUUUUGGAGAAGCUGGGAGGAUUUCAUCGAUGCGUUAUGUCUUUCAACAGAUGCAAGAGAAGGGGAUCAAGAUUGAUGCUGUGACUUGUACUUCACUUAUGCACUGGCUUUCAAAAGAUGGGGAUGUCGAUGGAGCAAUCAAGGUGUGGGAGGAUAUGAAGACUAGCCAUUGUCAUCCAACAGUUGUUUCUUUUACUGCUUAUAUGAAGGUUUUAUUUGAUCACAACAGAGUGAAGGAUGCUGCUGAUGUCUACAAAGAGAUGCUGCAAUCUGGUUGUUCUCCGAAUUGCUACACAUACACAGUGUUAAUGGAGCAUCUUGCUGGUUCUGGAAAAUACGGAGAAGUUAUAGAGAUUUUCAACAAAAUGCAGGAAGCUGGGGUUCAACCUGAUAAAGCUACAUGCAAUAUUCUGGUUCAGAAAUUUUGCAAGACAAGCGAAACAUGGCCAAUUACUCAUAUUCUUCGGUAUAUGAAAGAAAACUCCCUUGUCCUCCGUUAUCCUGUUUAUAUGGAAGCUCUUGAAACUUUGAAAAUGGCAGAGGAGAGUGAUGCUCUCCUACGACAAGUUAAUCCGCAUUUUCAAAUCCAAUGUGACAACAAGGAAAAGACAGAAGACUGCAAUGCAAUUACAACUAAUAUUAACUCCACUAUAGAUGAAGGACUUGUAUUAUAUUUGUUGAGAAGGCAAAAUUUUGUUGCCAUUGACUGCUUGCUUGCCGGCAUGAUGGAUAAGAAUACUCAGUUGGACCAUAGGAUCAUCUCAUCCAUCAUUGAAUUGAACAGUGAUCAUUCCCGGCCCAACGGUGCUUUAUUGGCAUUUGAAUACAGUGUGAAAAUGGGUCUAAGGAUUGGGAGACCUGCAUAUCUUGCCUUACUGGGUGUCUUCAUCAGAACAAAUUCAUUUCCAAAGGUUGUGGACGUUGUUGAGGAAAUGAAUAGGGCUGGAAUUUCUCUAGGAACAUAUUUGGGAUCACUGUUAAUUUAUAGGCUUGGUUGUGCCAGAAAGCCUGCUUCUUGUGCAAAGAUAUUUGAUCUAUUGCUUGAUGACCAGAAGAAUACAGCCACUUACACUGCUUUAAUCGUUGCAUACUUUUCCUCAGGGAAGGCUAAUAAAGGACUUGAAGUGUUCACGGUUAUGAGGAGCAAAGGGAUUGAUGUUGCACUGGGUACAUACAAUGUGCUAUUAGCAGGUCUUGAGAAAAGUGGCAGAGUUCAGGAAUUAGAACAAUUCAGGAAGGAGAAGAAGAAGAAUGUGCAUGCUGAUGGCAAUGGUCCAGGCAUGGUUCCUUUGGAGGAAAUGAUUUGUAAUCGCCUGUUUGCUGGGGAUGCUGUGUCUUGAUUUAUGAGAUUAUCAUCCUCUGUAUUCUUAGUCAAAUAGGUAUGUAGCAGCAAUAUUGGGAUUCUUCCAUGCAUAAGCUCUGGAGGGUGAUAUUGCAGUUCUGGGUAUUUAUCAUCUAUACCUAUAGGAAGAAGAGAUAGGAAGGACUGGAAGGUUAUCACAGUUGCAGAUUUCGAUCAUGUAGCCAUCUGGAUCAUGGAAGAACACCUGAUCCACCUGGAUCCCUUCCUCCUCCACCACGGCUGUGGUGUAUCUCAUUCCCAUGGCUUCCAACCUUCUCUUGACAAGUCCAACAUCUGUGCACUGUUACAAGACAAAAAGAAAAAGAAAAUAAGACAUCAAUUCUGAAGAAGAGGAAGAAGAAGAUCGUCUAUUUCUUACUUGAAAGGAGAUGUGAUUAUCCUUUGGAUUGAUAGGUCGUGGUUCGUUAAUGGCAUCAUACUCAUCAAUGGACUCAUUCUCAAGUAAGUGGAUCCCAAUUCCAUAGUUGAACAACCUGGAAAAGUAUCAGAUAAUUAUUUACAUGUAGUUUGAUAUGUGAAAUGUGCACUUUGUUAGAAGUCAGGAUUCUCGGGAUAUAGGAACGGUGGUGUGCGAUACGUUGUCAACUGUGAUAUGAUAGGGGGUAGGGUUCUAGGGAUUACAAUGUUAGAAUGUAGUUCUUUGGGCCGAUAAAUGUACAAUGAGACACAAAAUCAGUUUCCAAAAUAAUUGAUGAAAAAACAUUAAGAACCCUUUAUGAUCAUUUUAAAUUUUUAA
Molecule: RNA transcript, 2882 nt
Organism: Rhododendron vialii
Lineage: Eukaryota; Viridiplantae; Streptophyta; Magnoliopsida; Ericales; Ericaceae
Gene name: pentatricopeptide repeat-containing protein At2g01390
Exons: 3
Source: RefSeq, a predicted model, not a curated record